GGGGAAUAUUGGACAAUGGGCGAAAGCCUGAUCCAGCAAUGCCGCGUGAGUGAUGAAGGCCUUAGGGUUGUAAAGCUCUUUUACCAGGGAUGAUAAUGACAGUACCUGGAGAAUAAGCUCCGGCUAACUCCGUGCCAGCAGCCGCGGUAAUACGGAGGGAGCUAGCGUUGUUCGGAAUUACUGGGCGUAAAGCGCGCGUAGGCGGCUUUGUAUGUCGAUUGUGAAAGCCCCGGGCUCAACCUGGGAACUGCAGUCGAAACUGCAAAGCUUGAAUGUUGGAGAGGUUGGGGGAAUACCUAGUGGAGAAGUGAAAUUCGUAGAGAUUAGGUGGAACACCAGAGGCGAAGGCGCCUGACUGGCCAAACAUUGACGCUGAGGCGCGAAAGCGUGGGUAGCAAA
Molecule: ribosomal RNA, 399 nt
Filed under: uncultured bacterium
Lineage: Bacteria
Description: bacterial SSU rRNA
Rfam family: Bacterial small subunit ribosomal RNA
Source: RNAcentral